UUACACCCGUGCAAAGGAUUGAAACGGCAUCCUUUUUUGUGAACCUUAAUUUUGAUUGAAGCAUUGUUUUUAGUGUCACUAUGAAGUUGAUUUUGAGAGCGAAACCCCAACACAAAAAAGAUAUAGUGUAAAGCCUGACGCUAU
Molecule: small RNA, 144 nt
Filed under: Neotamlana nanhaiensis
Lineage: Bacteria; Pseudomonadati; Bacteroidota; Flavobacteriia; Flavobacteriales; Flavobacteriaceae
Description: Tamlana nanhaiensis Flavo-1 RNA
Rfam family: Flavo-1 RNA
Source: Rfam by way of RNAcentral